This 292-nucleotide ribosomal RNA is filed under the name uncultured bacterium. RNAcentral's name for it is "partial 16S ribosomal RNA". It matches the Rfam family "Bacterial small subunit ribosomal RNA", at positions 505 to 796 of the family's 1533-position model. The record is from RNAcentral.
GUGUCAGCAGCCGCGGUAAUACGUAGGCAGCAAGCGUUGUUCGGAAUUACUGGGCGUAAAGAGUGUGUAGGCGGUGUUCUAAGUCUGUUGUGAAAUCUCCCGGCUCAACUGGGAGGGUGCGGCGGAGACUGGAAUGCUAGAGUAUGGGAGAGGUAAGCGGAAUUCCUGGUGUAGCGGUGAAAUGCGUAGAUAUCAGGAGGAACACCUGUGGUGUAGACAGCUUACUGGACCAUGACUGACGCUGAGACACGAAAGCGUGGGUAGCAAACAGGAUUAGAUACCCUGGUAGUCC